ACCACUGAGAAAACAGAAUGCGACUUUUGGUAAUACCCAUAUAAAACGGAGGCUUUGUUGGAGCUCUCCCUCUCUUUUCUCCCGGUGAGCCGCCAGGUAACGUCGUGGGCCAUGGCAGGGCCCGGCUUAGGCCCGCUCCGCCUUGGGCGGCCGGGCCCGGCCCAGCCGGGUCUCUGUGAGCCGCUGCCGCAGGGAGCGGCCCGGGCAGCCGAGCCCAGCUCCUCUUCUCUCCCGGCUGCCGCAGGGAGCGGCCCGGGCAGCCGAGCCCAGCUCCUCUUCUCUCCCGGCUGCCGCAGGGAGCGGCCCGGGCAGCCGAGCCCAGCUCCUCUUCUCUCCCGGCUGCCGCAGGGAGCGGCCCGGGCAGCCGAGCCCAGCUCCUCUUCUCUCCCGGCUGCCGCAGGGAGCGGCCCGGGCAGCCGAGCCCAGCUCCUCUUCUCUCCCGGCUGCCGGCGGGGGACACGGGGGGCUCUGGCUCCGCAGGGCUGGCCGCAGGCUGGAUCAGAUCGAGGGGUGGGUAAGAAAGCAUCCACCCGCCUCCUCUACCGGCAGGGCUUUGAGAUCUUUGCAGCUGCCGCCCGGCGAGAACCACACGAGCACCGCAGGCCUGGGCAAGCUUCAACUCUUUCCUGCCGGCAAAUGGAACUCCCAGAGCACCAGCCCUUCCUGAGCCUCAGGAAGGAGCUGCAGUUGUUGUCCCUCCAGAGUGGGGUACAAGGGCCACAGCUGUCCCAGUUUGGGAGACAGGUGCCUUGCAGACAGGAUGACAAGGCAGCAUGAUGACACAGAUGAUUCUACCUAACUUGACAAGCCCAGCCUCUCCCAGCCAGUGAUGCAUCCCACACAGCGCUGAAGAUGGAACAUUCCUGUGGAGGAGCUGUCAAACGGGAUUACCAACAAUACAGGAGAAAGAAUUACAGAAGACCUCACCCCUGAGAAGUCACAGCUGUGUUUUGAGAGAGAGGAAAGAAUGGGUUUGCUGGUGAGGAGAAGAGCCUGAGGAAGACAGAACUGUCCAAGUACUGAAGGAAUGAUUUGGAAAGACUAGAGGACUGACCAAAUCAGUCAAAGAGAGAGAGGGAGAGACUUGCUGCUGUGAGGAAUCUGCUGUGUGCUCAGUCUGGGGCUGCAGCUGGACCUUGCAGUUGGAGCUUGCAGUCACAGGUGAGCUAGGUGAAAGCCUACUGCCAGAGGCUGCAAGGAAACACUUGUAGUCAUAUUCUAGCAGGAAAUACCCAGCAGUCAGAGUCUGCAAAGACACCUACAGUGGGAGUUUACUGCAGUAAAAGCCAGUGAGUAGUUAGAGUGAGGAUGGCUGAGUUAUUAGGAAGAAUAACCCAGGACCUUUGCAUAUGAUUGGAUAAGAGUCUGUGUCCUGAUCCAUUUCUAUCUCAAACGCGAGGUUUGCUGGGACAACUUUAAUUGCAUAGUGUGAAUUGACUGAUUUCAUCAUAGGCGUUAUUCAUAAGUUAAUAUUCUUGUACUUGUAGCUGGGUUUUCAUAUGCUCUACCAUUUCUUUGUGUCAUUAUCUACAAGACACGCGUUGUUUCAGGAUCUUUCUUCUUUUGUUCUCUCGUUGCUUAUGCAUCUCUUAGGCCAGACUGGCUCUGACUGGGCCCUCCACUGGCUCUGUGGUUUGACCCAGUGCUGUCUCAUGACUUUGAAGUAUUUUUCAGAGUUCCAAGAAACAAUAUCUGAGCUUCGUCCAAAGCCUCCUCUGCACUGAUGGUAUUGUGACCUUUACUCUUGCUAAUCAGAUGCAUUCCCAGUGAUUAUUACAGAAGCACUCCCAACAGUUUGCUGUGUUUAAAGCAUCUCUUUCCUGAGAAAUUUUGGAGGGAACAGCUACUGGGUGAUCAGUCUUUAACCCCAAGACCUUUAUUCAUAACUGCUAUUCUUAAGAGCCUUGUUUUAAAACAUGCUUAGGGAAUUCUCUGCCAGGUAAAGCUUGGGUGGUAGCCAGGCCUUAGCUUUACUGGGAUGGGGAUUUGCCAACAAACCCAGAUGUUUUCUGCAUCAAAACUACAUUUGAAUCCCUUUGACCUGGCAAUUGGAAUUUCCAAACCUUACAGCUGGACCUAUUUUUAAAAUGAGCUUGGGAAUUAUUAUCUGGAAAUAAUUAUCCAAGUCCUUACUUGUCGGAGUCCAGGGCAUCUCUCUGAUCACCCUGAAGGAUCUGGGACCUGAGCAGGAGGUUUGGAACCUGUACAGAGGGGUUUGGAGUCUGUACAGGAGGGCUGGAAACCUUGGCACAGACUCCAGGACGAAUUACAAGCCUCAAGAGUGUGAAAUUAGUAGUAGUUAGUUUAUGACAGGGUGAAAAAGUAGAAUUUGGGGUUUCUUAGAAUGGAGGCUGAAGAGCCCAGAUGGAGUAAUCCAGCCAUGGACCUGUUCUUCUUCCUUCUUGUUCUUGCCCUCCAUCUUCUGCAGUGCUGGGUCACAAGGGAUUGGUUUAGAGUAGAGGUGACAUGCUUAGCAUAAGUGAUAGGUAUUGAAAAUUAAUUUUAAAUAAAGAAUACGGUGUGGACAAGGGUUGGGCUGGAGGAAUGGUACAAAAGGGCUGAGACCUCCCGACCUGGGGGGAGUCCCCUCGUGUUCUCUGCUGCAGCAAGAACCUUGGCGGAGCGCAGAAAGAACUAUGAGAUAAAAAAGAAUAAACAACCUUGGAAAACCUGAACUGGCAACUCCUGACUUCUGCUUCUGGCACGAGGUGUUUCAGAGGGCAAAAGACACUUUAUCACCGAAUCUCAGGGACGACAAUCUGAGACUCACUGAAUCAAAGUUUGUCAGCUGUUUGCCAACUCUGGGGUGAUGGGAUGACACUGAGAUUUUGGCGCUUCUUCAUUGAAGACCAAAAGCUGGGUAGUUGUAAAAGUAAAGUCUUUUAUUGCACGGCUAAACCAGUCUCAUGAAGGCAAAGGUGUUACAGUUUGUGCCAGUAUGCAGAAAGCCUUCUAGCACAAAGUCCCCAUGUCCCAAGCACAAGUGGCAGCAUCUUAGCAGCAGCAGUGACUGCACCUGUAAUCUGUUUUCCAUGAGCGUGCUAGCAUUCUUAAAGCAGUGCAUUUUAUUCUAUUUUGAACCAAGCGGAUAGAAACACGAGUCUACUAUUGCCUUGCUGGACCUAUCCUAAACUAAGACUGAUGUACAAAAGUAAUUGUAAUUUCUUACACUAAUUCCACAUAUAUAACUCUAUCUUGUUCUAUCUAGGAAUGCUAGCAAGGCUAUUUUGCUUGUAUUAUCUCUAGAGUUUAGUCAACUUCGGAAUAGGUAAAACUACUGAACUUUCAACUAGGUUUUAGGUCCUUUUCUUACGAACUAAUUCAGCCUCUUAUUUGCUUAAGGCACUUCAAAAAUUCUCUACUUAUUUAAAACUAAACUUGCAUUUCUACCUCAUGUCUGUGUGCCUUUAUGUCUUUUAGUUUCUCUGAAGGUUGUAAUUCAGCCCUCACAUCUUUGAGCACCCCUGGGUCUGUGUGGAUGGGGCCCAGAGGGAUUUUGCAUCCUGACAAUGGUGCACUAUCUUAGAGAUUACUAAUUACCCCAUUUCACAUCUGUUCAUACUUAUAUCUAUGAUCUGAAAUAUUCCUGAUUGUUGGAUCUGUAUUAUUCCUUGUUGCGGUAAACUUCUGCUUUCACUCUAUUGUUUUCUUUUGAUGUUCCCUUCACGUUCAUAGCAAGAAACAUGCAUGCUGUUUUUGAAACAAAAAGAAGGGGGAAUUAGCUCAUAAAGGAUGUCUGAACCAUGCUGUAUUUAUACAAUUCUUUUUUUUUCAAAUUUUUUAGUAAAGAUCCUCAGUUGAAUGUGCAAGGCCUGACUCAUUCCCUAGCUGAAAGAGAAGAGAGUGCGUGUGUUUUUAUCAUCAGCAGGUUCAAAGCAGUCACCUGUUCAUUUGAUCAGACAUCAAUUGCCUCUGAGAAAAUGAGGCCCAGUGAGAAGGGAAAUGACUUAAUCACCACGCAGCCUUCGUAACCAGAACAGGAGCUAAAGUGGGAUGCCAGAGCAUGGCUGUGUCUGGAGACUUGCAGAGGCAACCUGCCAACACAGGCCUCAUGUCAUUAUCAUGGUAUUGUGUUCCUACUCAUCUUCUUCAGCUAUGCCCUGUUCCAGGCUCCCAAAAAGGACAUUCAGUGAAGUCAAGGUCAUCGCUUCCAGCUGAUGCAUUUCACCUGACCUAAAUGGCACAAUUGCUGAGUCUCAGCUAUAUGGACUUUGGAACAAUGGUCAAUUAUUUCUAUUUCCUUAAGAGACCCUGGACAUUCUCUUUUACUUUCCUAUGUAGCGAAACCUUGUGUCAAUGCCAGGAUUGGAUUUCAUAAGUUUGGUGUGACACCGAGGCCAGAGAAUCCCAGGCAGCUCCCACCCCAGCCCCGUGCCAAGAGUGGCUGCCCCGAACUGCUGGCAGUGCGAGUGGCAGUGCAGAGCAAAGCUGCUCUCUGCAGCUCCUGUGUAUCGUCGGCAUCUAGGCUCAAAGCAAGAGUCAGAGAAGGCUCUCUGAGAGAUCUUCACUCUCCAAAGGAUGGUGCAAGAGAGAGAGAGAGAACUGGGUCCCACGCUUAACUUUUAACCCGGGGGCAGAGGGCUGGGGCAGGUACGUGAAUGGCUCCAGGCUGAGACAGGGCAGGGUCAGGAGAAGGGCACAAAGGGACAGGGGAGGGGAAAACCUGGGGUAAAACCAAAACAAACCAAACACUGCAGGGAUAACCAGAACAAACCAUUGAGAGGACAACUUAGCAAAAACUUACCAAAAACCCACCACCACAUUGGUGGAUUAUAAUUAGUCUUUUAUGUUUCUUAUCCCAUUCCAAAUAGAUAACCGGUAAUAGACACAAAAGAAUGCAAAUUGUUUUAAGAUUAGAACAUUUAAGCCUUUUUUAAAAUAUUGAAACAGCAGAGAUGUUGCAGAAAGGUAAAAGACGUUAUAAAGGAAAGGUCUUAUGAAACAUAGAUUAGGCCCUGCUACUUUAGCAAAUCAGCUAGCAAUAGCUUGCAAGUUCCAAAUUGAAAACUAUUUUGAGAAUGAGAAGUUUGUUAACACAAAAACCUAUUUUUGGGGAAACAAAUAAGUGCACCUGCCUAAAUAUUAGAUCUGUUCCAUGAGAACCCAUAAAAGAAAAAAUGUAAACCACCUGAAUCUUAGCACAUACACACAAAUGACCUUCUGACCAAUAGAUGAAGUAGCAAGAAAACUACCAGGCCAGUGGGUGUUGUGAACGAGGUCUGUGAAAACUGUACAAAAUACAGCCAGCCCAUUUCUAGGAAAACACCCCUGACUGCCAUCUCUGCAAAUGCAAUUCCCACUUUCCAAUUCCCUCUUCUGCAGCCAGGCCAGCAAAGUAGUCACUGCCAGCGCCAGAAACCAACUGCAUACAGCAGUCACAACCCUGAAAUAUCAACUUCCUUACUUCACCUGCCCACUGGGAGCUCCCACAGAGAGACCUUUUGUCCAAGGAUACCCACUGAAGAGCUCGAGGAGGGAGCAGUUUGAAACACAGCUCCUCCAGAGUUUAAACCUCCCUUUAUCAAAUGAGCACACACCAGCCUGUGCCAAAGGGAAAGCAGGCAGGAAAGAGAAGCUCCUCUCCCACAGCACUAAGCUCUGUGCUCCCUUCUUUUCUAGCUGGAGAGCAGAGGCCAUGGGCUAGUCCUCAAUUUGGGAAGGAUCCCUGGGAAAUGGCCUGAUCUGGGAGCCCAGCAGAGAGAAGUUCCCAAAAGGUAGGAAAAGAUUCUCUGGAAGCAAUAGAUUAUGACAAUACUACUGCAGGGGAA
This is an RNA transcript of Prinia subflava (tawny-flanked prinia), 5768 nucleotides long. It is a transcript of the gene named decreased expression in renal and prostate cancer protein-like, with no coding region annotated. Lineage: Eukaryota; Metazoa; Chordata; Aves; Passeriformes; Cisticolidae. The transcript has 4 exons. The record is from RefSeq and is a predicted model, not a curated record.